RNAcentral lists this ribosomal RNA (620 nucleotides) under uncultured cyanobacterium. RNAcentral's name for it is "bacterial SSU rRNA". It matches the Rfam family "Bacterial small subunit ribosomal RNA", at positions 833 to 1452 of the family's 1533-position model. The record is from RNAcentral. Lineage: Bacteria; Bacillati; Cyanobacteriota.
GACCCCCUCGGUGUCGUAGCUAACGCGUUAAGUGUUCCGCCUGGGGAGUACGCACGCAAGUGUGAAACUCAAAGGAAUUGACGGGGGCCCGCACAAGCGGUGGAGUAUGUGGUUUAAUUCGAUGCAACGCGAAGAACCUUACCAGGGUUUGACAUCCUGCGAAUCCCUUGGAAACUUGGGAGUGCCUUCGGGAGCGCAGAGACAGGUGGUGCAUGGCUGUCGUCAGCUCGUGUCGUGAGAUGUUGGGUUAAGUCCCGCAACGAGCGCAACCCACGUCUUUAGUUGCCAGCAUUUAGUUGGGCACUCUAGAGAGACCGCCGGUGAUAAACCGGAGGAAGGUGCGGAUGACGUCAAGUCAUCAUGCCCCUUACAUCCUGGGCUACACACGUACUACAAUGCUACGGACAAAGGGUUGCAAACUCGCGAGAGCUAGCUAAUCCCAUAAACCGUGGCUCAGUUCAGAUCGUAGGCUGCAACUCGCCUACGUGAAGGAGGAAUCGCUAGUAAUCGCAGGUCAGCAUACUGCUGUGAAUACGUUCCCGGGCCUUGUACACACCGCCCGUCACACCAUGGAAGUUGGCCACGCCCGAAGUCGUUACUCCAACCCGUAAGGGAGGAGA